UUCGGGGUACUCGAGUGGCGAACGGGUGAGUAACACGUGGGUGAUCUGCCCUGCACUUUGGGAUAAGCCUGGGAAACUGGGUCUAAUACCGAAUAGGACCACGCGCUUCAUGGUGUGUGGUGGAAAGCUUUUGCGGUGUGGGAUGGGCCCGCGGCCUAUCAGCUUGUUGGUGGGGUAAUGGCCUACCAAGGCGACGACGGGUAGCCGGCCUGAGAGGGUGACCGGCCACACUGGGACUGAGAUACGGCCCAGACUCCUACGGGAGGCAGCAGUGGGGAAUAUUGCACAAUGGGCGCAAGCCUGAUGCAGCGACGCCGCGUGAGGGAUGACGGCCUUCGGGUUGUAAACCUCUUUCAAUAGGGACGAAGCGCAAGUGACGGUACCUAUAGAAGAAGCACCGGCCAACUACGUGCCAGCAGCCGCGGUAAUACGUAGGGUGCGAGCGUUGUCCGGAAUUACUGGGCGUAAAGAGCUCGUAGGUGGUUUGUCGCGUUGUUCGUGAAAACUCACAGCUUAACUGUGGGCGUGCGGGCGAUACGGGCAGACUAGAGUACUGCAGGGGAGACUGGAAUUCCUGGUGUAGCGGUGGAAUGCGCAGAUAUCAGGAGGAACACCGGUGGCGAAGGCGGGUCUCUGGGCAGUAACUGACGCUGAGGAGCGAAAGCGUGGGGAGCGAACAGGAUUAGAUACCCUGGUAGUCCACGCCGUAAACGGUGGGUACUAGGUGUGGGUUCCUUCCUUGGGAUCCGUGCCGUAGCUAACGCAUUAAGUACCCCGCCUGGGGAGUACGGCCGCAAGGCUAAAACUCAAAGGAAUUGACGGGGGCCCGCACAAGCGGCGGAGCAUGUGGAUUAAUUCGAUGCAACGCGAAGAACCUUACCUGGGUUUGACAUGCACAGGACGCCGGCAGAGAUGUCGGUUCCCUUGUGGCCUGUGUGCAGGUGGUGCAUGGCUGUCGUCAGCUCGUGUCGUGAGAUGUUGGGUUAAGUCCCGCAACGAGCGCAACCCUUGUCCUAUGUUGCCAGCGGGUUAUGCCGGGGACUCGUAGGAGACUGCCGGGGUCAACUCGGAGGAAGGUGGGGAUGACGUCAAGUCAUCAUGCCCCUUAUGUCCAGGGCUUCACACAUGCUACAAUGGCCGGUACAAAGGGCUGCGAUGCCGUGAGGUGGAGCGAAUCCUUUCAAAGCCGGUCUCAGUUCGGAUCGGGGUCUGCAACUCGACCCCGUGAAGUCGGAGUCGCUAGUAAUCGCAGAUCAGCAACGCUGCGGUGAAUACGUUCCCGGGCCUUGUACACACCGCCCGUCACGUCAUGAAAGUCGGGAACACCCGAAGCCG
This 1335-nucleotide ribosomal RNA is filed under the name Mycobacterium sp. DWMJ-1948B3. Its description in RNAcentral is "bacterial SSU rRNA". It matches the Rfam family "Bacterial small subunit ribosomal RNA", at positions 81 to 1429 of the family's 1533-position model. The record is from RNAcentral. Lineage: Bacteria; Bacillati; Actinomycetota; Actinomycetes; Mycobacteriales; Mycobacteriaceae.